This 301-nucleotide ribosomal RNA is filed under the name uncultured bacterium. RNAcentral's name for it is "partial 16S ribosomal RNA". It matches the Rfam family "Bacterial small subunit ribosomal RNA", at positions 509 to 807 of the family's 1533-position model. The record is from RNAcentral.
CAGUCGCCGCGGGAAUACAGAGGGUGCGAGCGUUAAUCGGAUUUACUGGGCGUAAAGCGUGCGUAGGCGGCUAAUUGAGUCGGAUGUGAAAUCCCCGAGCUUAACUUGGGAAUUGCAUUCGAUACUGGUUAGCUAGAGUGUGUGAGAGGAUGGUAGAAUUCCAGGUGUAGCGGUGAAAUGCGUAGAGAUCUGGAGGAAUACCGAUGGCGAAGGCAGCCAUCUGGCCUAACACUGACGCUGAGGUACGAAAGCAUGGGGAGCAAACAGGAUUAGAUACCCCUGUAGUCCCUGUCUCUUAUAC